Molecule: transfer-messenger RNA, 355 nt
Filed under: Dehalococcoidales bacterium
Lineage: Bacteria; Bacillati; Chloroflexota; Dehalococcoidia; Dehalococcoidales
Rfam family: transfer-messenger RNA
About the family: Bacterial tmRNA, also known as 10Sa RNA or SsrA, is named for its dual tRNA and mRNA-like properties. Its role is to liberate the mRNA from a stalled ribosome. To accomplish this part of the tmRNA is used as a reading frame that ends in a translation stop signal.
Source: RNAcentral
GGGGGCGCGCGGGUUCGACAGGGGAGGUAUGCUACAGGAUUGCAGGCUGAGGUGCCGCUACCCUCAUAAAACAAGUGGCAAAAAUAACUGGCGAAGAACCAGUUUUAGUUGCCGCCUAGUAACUAGGUGACACAUCCAACCUGACCUCACCCCGACGGGUUGGGAUUGGGUGACGAAAAGCCGGGGUGCCGUUGCCCGGACGUCGAUAAGGGCGGCGAAAGAGAAAAUCGACUUGCCAGGCAGAACUCCGUCGGCAGAGGUCUGUUUCGGCGAGAAUAAAGGGUCGACUAAGCUUGUAGGAUAUUCUGGGUAGCCUCUUUUGGACGGGGAGUUCGACUCUCCCCCGCCUCCACCA